AGCCGGUUUGGUCAGUCCUCCGGGAAAUCUGAUAGCUCAACUAUUAGGCUUUCGGGGGAUACUGCCAGACUUGGAACCGGGAGAGGUAAGAGGUACUACAGGGGUAGGAGUGAAAUCUUGUAAUCCCUGUGGGACCACCUGUGGCGAAGGCGUCUUACCAGAACGGGUUCGACGGUGAGGGACGAAAGCUGGGGGCACGAACCGGAUUAGAUACCCGGGUAGUCCCAGCCGUAAACGAUGCUCGCUAGGUGUCAGGCAUGGCGCGACCGUGUCUGGUGCCGCAGGGAAGCCGUGAAGCGAGCCACCUGGGAAGUACGGCCGCAAGGCUGAAACUUAAAGGAAUUGGCGGGGGAGCACAACAACGGGUGGAGCCUGCGGUUUAAUUGGACUCAACGCCGGACAACUCACCGGGGGCGACAGCAAUAUGUAGGCCAAGCUGAAGACUUUGCCUGAAUCGCUGAGAGGAGGUGCAUGGCCGUCGCCAGUUCGUACUGUGAAGCAUCCUGUUAAGUCAGGCAACGAGCGAGACCCGUGCCCACUGUUACCAGCAUAUCCUUCGGGAUGAUGGGUACUCUGUGGGGACCGCCGGUGUCAAAUCGGAGGGAGGUGCGGGCCACGGU
Molecule: ribosomal RNA, 620 nt
Filed under: uncultured Methanosarcina sp.
Lineage: Archaea; Methanobacteriati; Methanobacteriota; Methanomicrobia; Methanosarcinales; Methanosarcinaceae
Description: bacterial SSU rRNA
Rfam family: Archaeal small subunit ribosomal RNA
Source: RNAcentral